Molecule: ribosomal RNA, 201 nt
Filed under: uncultured bacterium
Lineage: Bacteria
Description: partial 16S ribosomal RNA
Rfam family: Bacterial small subunit ribosomal RNA
Source: RNAcentral
ACGCUCGACACCUACGGGAGGCGGCAGUGGGGAAUAUUGCACAAUGGGGGAAACCCUGAUGCAGCGACGCCGCGUGAAGGAAGAAGUAUUUCGGUAUGUAAACUUCUAUCAGCAGGGAAGAAGAAAGUGACGGUACCUGACUAAGAAGCCCCGGCUAACUACGUGCCAACAGCCGCGGUAAUCUGAGCGGGCUGGCAAGGC